This 432-nucleotide ribosomal RNA is filed under the name uncultured bacterium. RNAcentral describes it as "partial 16S ribosomal RNA". It matches the Rfam family "Bacterial small subunit ribosomal RNA", at positions 29 to 506 of the family's 1533-position model. The record is from RNAcentral.
AACGAACGCUGGCGGCAUGCCUAACACAUGCAAGUCGAACGAUACCUGCGGGCAUAGUGGUGCAUUGGUGAGUAACGCGUGGGAACCUGCUCAUAGGUUCGGAACAACUCGCCGAAAGGGGUUCACAACUCGAAAAAGGUCCUAAGACCAAAGAUGUAUCGCCUUCGGAUGGGCGCGAGGUGGGGUACACUGUUGGUAGGGUAAAAGCCUACGAAGGCGACGAUCCAUAGCUGGUCUGGGAGGAUGAUCAGCCACACUGGGACUGAGACACGGCGCAGACACCUACGAAAGGCAGCAGUGGGGAAUAUUGGACGCUGGGCGAAAGCCUGAGCCAGCAAGGCCGCGUAGGUGAUGAAGGCCUUAGGAUUGUAAAGCUCUUUUACCCGGGAUGAUAAGAACAGUACCGGGGGAAUAGGCUCCGGCUAACUCCGU